CAUUUUAUUAUUCAAGGGAGGUUUUGUUUUUUAUAUAUUAAAACUCCAAUGAGAUCCUCUUCAAUAGGAGCAUGGCUUUCCUCCAGAUGGAUGCAGCACCCGGAGCCACCGUGGAAGCAGAGAGCAGCCCUCACCAGACAACCAAACCCGCCAGCACCUUCAUCUUCACCUUCUGGCCUCCAGAACUUGAACACGACGUGACACCUGCUUAGAAAAGAGGGUGCUGGACGGACACUGCAGGAGGCAAAGGGCUCUCCUGAAGACGGCUGCUGCAAUAAUGAGGGGUCUAUUGGAACUCUACUCCAGCCAUGCACCAAGAACAGGUGGCUCCUUGGCAAACUUACAGUUUUGGUCUGGCCUAGUGAUAACCUUCCUGUGGCCCUCUCCACACAGAAACCAGCAUUCCAAAGAUCCAGCCCACACCAAGCCUGUGCUCCCUCUGCACAGCUACACCAGUAGUUCCUGAUUCCCUGUGCCCCGUGUCACUCCAGAGGGCUGCUUCCCACUUGCCAAGCAACUGCAGACCAGUACAGCCUAG
Long non-coding RNA from Lemur catta (Ring-tailed lemur), 538 nucleotides. RefSeq lists it as uncharacterized. The transcript is spliced from 3 exons. The record is from RefSeq and is a predicted model, not a curated record. Lineage: Eukaryota; Metazoa; Chordata; Mammalia; Primates; Lemuridae.